UGAUAUGGCAACAGCCAGUAGGGUCAUUAUUACAGGUGGCGACGAGGAAGGAGCCGAAUAAGCUAGUCAUUGUCAGGUGAGCUACGUCUGGAUAUUAAGAUCCAUAAACCGACAAGAUGGUGGAGUUUAAUGGCACCUACAAACAUGACAAGGACGAGAACUUCCAGGAGGUCUUGGCCAAGAUCGGGAUUGGGUUCAUGCUGAGGAAGGUGAUGAUGUUGGCCAAACCGAGCGUUGAGGUGAAAGUUGAAGGUGACAUCUGGACCAUCCUUGCUCACACCCCAAUCAAGACAAUCACCAUAACCUUCAAACUUGGCCAGGAGACUGACAUGGAGUUUUUGACAGGAGGGCGACAAAGGUGAAAAGUAGUGUUUACCUUGGAGGGCAACACACUCACUCAGCAGCCAGUGGAUACAUCAGGAGACAAUGCCGUGUCAGUGGUUAGGGAGUUCACUGACGAGGGCUUGAAACAGGUGAUGAUCCAUUUGCCAUCUGGAACAAAAGGCAUUCGGUUCUUCAAGAGAGCAUGAGGAGCCAUUAAGAGAACUCCACCCCCCACGACUCCUUAGUGCUAUCACCUCAUGCAUCCCGCGGAUCGAUGUUCAUUUUACCAGAUAUUAACACUAUUUUCCCACUUUAUUUGAUAAAUACUGGACUGUAUAGUAUGUAUUGUAGUGUUUUAUGUGCUUUUCUGUUCAUUAAAUAGAUACUGGUAUGUUACUUGUAUAUGAACUUGCAUGUGCUUUUAAAUUUUAUGGUUAGUAAGCUGACAAGAGAUGAAGGUAAGUGUACUUUUCUUUUCACCUAAUACAAUACAGUACUUACAUUACUGGUACUGUAUAAGUACAGGUAAUUUACCUUUGAUUUGAUAAAUUUGUUACUGGAAUAUACAGUAUAUAUUUUUCUGACCAAAUAAUGCAUUUGCUACUGGUAAAUGUACUUUACUGUUAAUGUAAUGCAUAUUAUAUUAAUGGCAUAUGUACUUCCCUGGUCAUUUGAUACAUAUAUAAGGAUGAGUUAGCAUCAAUGAACAGUUGAUGUGACAAUAAUGUAGCACAACCAUCCAGGCUAAUAAGAGUACAUGCUUCUUCAUAUUCAUAAAUAAAUCAUCCAAAUCUUGGCAGCUUAAAGUAAUACCAAUAGGUAUGAAGGCAUUGUCAUUUUUUUGCUUGAAUAAAAAAAUGAACUGUUAGGUUUUGUCACAAUGAGAAGUUUGUUUCUUUGUUUUCAUGAAUAAAUUACCAAAGUUUUGUUAGUCUUUAAGUUCUGGGUUUGAUGGUGCAGUUUGUCUCUUUUUUGACACGAAUCAAUUAAUAAAGCUCUUAUCCAAGUCAA
Long non-coding RNA from Homarus americanus (American lobster), 1335 nucleotides. RefSeq lists it as uncharacterized. NCBI's taxonomy places the organism in Eukaryota, Metazoa, Arthropoda, Malacostraca, Decapoda, Nephropidae. The record is from RefSeq and is a predicted model, not a curated record. The transcript has 5 exons.